UGCUGUUUGAGAACCAGAGCCACAAGUGGCUGGCUAGAAGCGGCAGCACCGGCUCUGUGGCUGCUGUGGGGACUGUGGUGGUGUCUGUGGGGUCCACCUGCGUGGUCUUGCUGUAGCAGGCCAUCCACUCAUGCUGCCCGUCCUCAGUGGAUAUAGACUCAUAGGGCCCUGAGCUGGGGUGAUCUUGUGUUCAAUCCUCAUUGCCCAAUAGCCCCUACCCCGGAUCUGGUUGCAGAUGUCCGUUUUUAGGGUGUGUUUGCCAGACCUCCUGGGGAAGAAAGGAAGACCUGCCAAUCUGUCUUUUCCUGCUGCUGCGAUCCCACAGCCCAGAGUGUAAGUGCCGAUUCUCUGCACUCUGCCCCAGUGCAGGGUAGACACCGGCCCGCCCCCCACCUCUUCCAGCCUCUUCUACUCCCUCACACAGCAGACUGUGCACCCCGAAGCCAGGUUCAGUUUCCCAUCUGCAUGGUCAGAGAGGGAUCCAAGUAGGUACGCGGGGAACACCCUUAUCCAGAACCAAUUACACCCCAGGCACUGCGCUCAGAGCGCUAUCUACAUUUGCUUUUAAUCCUUGCCAUACAAGAUGUUGUCAUUAUUUUCCACAUGCCUAAACUGGGCUUCUAAGAUGGCACAGCUACAAAAUUCAUCAAAGAUGAAUAACUAGCAAUCAACAAGGCCAGAGAGCAAGCGCACAUCCAUCUCAUGCUAAGGCUGUGUUCUGUGGCAGUCCGACCACCCAAACUUGGUGACAUUUUAGAAGUCUGUCGGAUUAAUUGAUUUCAGUAAACCAAAGAGCACAUUUAUUUAUUUUUAUUUUCUGUGGUACUGGGGAUCGAGCUCAGGACCUCGCACUUGUGAGGCAUGCGUGUUGCCACUGAGCUAAAUCCCCAGGUUUUUAAUUUAUUUUUCAACACCACACAAUGUUCCGCAUCUUUUCUUUUUCCCUUUAGCACUAUGCUGCCUUAUAGCACUUGCAUAUGGAGACACGCCGUCAUGGCUCACAGUUUUAAUGUCUGCUUCCCCAGAGAGAAAUUCCUGACUCUCUCCACAGCUCCCGGUCUGCCUCUCAUGUUCUGGAAGCCACCCGGAGGUUGCAGGGAGGCAGGGAGAUUUGGAGUCUCAUCUCGAGGCUGUGAGGGCCACGCUGGCUUCCGUUCCUAACCUCUCCCUCCCCAUCCUCUGGGUCACGCACCUUCACGUCCACAGACUGUUUCUCCAAGAGAGUGAGCUUGGCCUCUACCAGGUGGGGAACGGCACCAGCCUGGCAUCAUAAAAUGUGCAGGGGGGUCCCUUAUGAUCCGCUCAUCCGUCCUCCAGGUUGUCGUCCGGUUCCUGACAUCCCGGGGCAGACACGCCGGUUGUCCUGAGUCUCCUGGUGGCAGGUACUCAACGAAAGUGAAAAGUAGUUUCCUUUUUAUUGGCUGUUUCCCCUGGCAACAACUCAGCUUCAACUUUGUGUCCUCUGCUCCACUAGUUAUUACUCACCUACUCUCUGUCUUCAAAAGUUUUGUUGAUAUUUCAUCUGCUCUCUUCAUGACUGGAGUUCUCUUUUGUAUAGUUUUAAUGGAGCCUUAGUAGUGGUGGUGAUAAACACAUGAUUAAAUGUACCGUGUCGACGUGGAGAUGCCUAUUGCAACAUGACCUAUGAUGAUACGGAUCGAAAAGAUCUCCAGCCCUGACCUUAUUUAACAAGUGCUGCUGUUGUCAGGAUGCUAGACACAUAUGUGAAGUUGCUUAGCCAGUCCUGGAGCAGUUUGGGCCAAGGGCUUCAGCACUCUGGGACUGUUGGUCAAGUGGUGCCUCCUAAUAUCUUAUUUGAGUAGUGUGAGAGCCCCACCUACAAAGCACAGUCUCACAGCCAAGAAUAUUUCUCAAUUUUUAUAUUUAUUUAUUUAUUUAUUGCUUUUUUGAGACAGGGUCUCACUAUGUAGUUGAGACUGACCUGGAACUCACUAUGUAGUCCAGGCUGGUCUUGAACUCACAGCAAUCCUCCUGCCUCAGCCUUCCGAGUGUACAAACACCUUUUGUUUAGAGGGUAUAGAUGAAAUUAAUUAUGGAGGGUGGGAAAGAUGAAGAAAUACUAUAGAUUUAAGCGGAAACUGUCCCAAAAUGUUUGGACAUAAGAGGAAAAAAAUCUAAAGUCAAAGUAAACUCCCAUCCAACUUCAGAUGUUUAGUUCAGAUGAUUGAGUAUGCAAUGAAUUCUUCUGAACUUCCACUUUUUAGCUGUUGUUGCCUAAUGAGGGAGAUGGGAAGGACUUCUUGGACCUAUUUCACGCAUUCCUGACUAAUGCCUAGUUUUCUCUGUUCCUGCAAAUGAUCCCAACUUGAAGAAUGGUUUGACAUAACAGGUUUGCUUUGAAAUAGCCUAGUAGUCAGGUGUGAUGGUGCAUACCUAUAAUCACAGAGCUGGGAAGGCUGAGGCAGGAUGAUUGCCUCGAGUUCGAGGCCAGCUUGGACUACAUAGUGAGACUCCGUCUCAAACAAAACAGAACAGAACAAAAACACAAACAAAAAAGAAAGAAAGACAGAGGGGA
Long non-coding RNA from Fukomys damarensis (Damara mole-rat), 2536 nucleotides. The record is from Ensembl. NCBI's taxonomy places the organism in Eukaryota, Metazoa, Chordata, Mammalia, Rodentia, Bathyergidae.